Molecule: non-coding RNA, 105 nt
Organism: Pseudovirgaria hyperparasitica
Lineage: Eukaryota; Fungi; Ascomycota; Dothideomycetes; Acrospermales; Acrospermaceae
Source: the annotation of a RefSeq genome assembly
GGCAAGAUGGCCGAGUUGGUUAUGGCGCCAGGUUAAGGCUUACUCACCUUAACGCAUUAUUUCCUGGUCUCGAAAGGGGCGUGGGUUCAAGUCCCACUCUUGUCA